AUUACCUCCUGCGUCUAUUGCAAUAACGGAGUUUAGAUAAUAUGAUGGGAACUAAAAAACGGAAUACAUUGAGACAACCAAAUAUUCUUUUCGUAUUCACAGGAACGAACGACGAUCGUGUGACACGUCACACAUUCUAAGUUCUCCAAUCUCGUCUAUUUCUUACAAACAUUUGAUUUUAUGAACUCAUUUGAAAUACCAUGCUUAAAAUUUGAUAAUGCAUACGCGCGUGGUGCUUGCGUAAAAAUAUCCAAUGGCCAUCGAAAUAGAAGAUCAAAUCAUAUUCAAAGGUAAGGAAAAUUACAAACCUACGAAACGGAU
RNAcentral lists this long non-coding RNA (321 nucleotides) under Mytilus galloprovincialis (Mediterranean mussel). The record is from RNAcentral. Lineage: Eukaryota; Metazoa; Mollusca; Bivalvia; Mytilida; Mytilidae.